GGAGGAGAGACCCUUGAUGCCCUAAUUGGGGCCUGUUCCGGCGGUGAGUGGGGCGGACGGCCGCUGCUCCACUAUCCUGCCAAACAGACCCAACCAGAGGACGGCAACCGUGUGGAUCUGGCCCUGUCCCCCCCCCUCUGGACCGGUGGGGGUGAUCCCGGUCCACACCCUGGGAUCCAGACCGAAACAGCGCAACCCGGGGCCAGCAACAUUACCAC
Molecule: non-coding RNA, 218 nt
Organism: Pelobates cultripes (western spadefoot toad)
Lineage: Eukaryota; Metazoa; Chordata; Amphibia; Anura; Pelobatidae
Source: the annotation of a GenBank genome assembly